Molecule: long non-coding RNA, 99 nt
Organism: Neltuma alba
Lineage: Eukaryota; Viridiplantae; Streptophyta; Magnoliopsida; Fabales; Fabaceae
Exons: 3
Source: RefSeq, a predicted model, not a curated record
CACGCAUUAAAUUGGUCAAUAAGAUGAUAGAUUGCGAACCAGUAACCCCGCCACCGCCAAUAUAAUUGCCCCAGAGUUUAUUGCAGCCCAAUGAGCAUC